This 605-nucleotide long non-coding RNA is filed under the name Musa acuminata (dwarf banana). RNAcentral describes it as "long non-coding RNA (MACU_LNC011396)". The record is from RNAcentral. Lineage: Eukaryota; Viridiplantae; Streptophyta; Magnoliopsida; Zingiberales; Musaceae.
AACAUAAUCUAGAGCAUCGCGGGCUCUAAGCACAUACCCUUUACCAUUUCUGGCAAAGCUCCAAAUAAUCCCACAAACACCAGAGUACAAAAGGGUAUUGUGAACAAUAAAUUUGGACAUAUCGGAAGCAUAUGCGGAACAACGAAAUGUACAUGUGCCUUUAUGAAACAUUACGAUACAAACAUGAAGUUUACAUAACAGAUUUAGGUAUCCAAAUACAUGUAGGACAAGAGCAUACAAGAAUUCAAAGCAGUAAUAUAAAGCUCAAUUGAAUAAGAAAGCUAAAGGAUAUCAAUUUUCAAAGGAAUGAAACCAGAAUAUGAGAAAUCGACCAAAGCUCGAUUUCUGGCAGAAUACAAGAGGCACAUUGAACAAAUGAAUCAAACUAUCAAUCGUGCUCCAAUUUUACUCAGAAAAGCUAUCAAAAGAAAGGUUUAUGAGUCUAUAUUCUGAUCAAAUAUUUUUUGUCCAAAUCAGAUGUCAAUACAUAAAGUUAUAAUCAUAACAAGGUAGAAAGGUCAGAAUCUCAGAAGUUGCACAGAUUCGGAUCGUUAUGUCUAAACAGGAGAUAUAUCAAAUGCAAGGCUAGAACAAUUCAAUGUUCC